AAACGCUGAAGGCAUCUAAGCGUGAAGCCCCCCUCAAGAUGAGAUAUCCCUACGAUUGAGUAGUAAGACCCCUUGAAGACGACGAGGUAGAUAGGACAGAGGUGGAAGUGUGGUAACACAUGUAGCUGACUGUUACUAAUCGGUCGAGGGCAUGACCAAG
RNAcentral lists this ribosomal RNA (160 nucleotides) under Dorea phocaeensis. RNAcentral's name for it is "partial 23S ribosomal RNA". It matches the Rfam family "Bacterial large subunit ribosomal RNA", at positions 2766 to 2925 of the family's 2925-position model. Lineage: Bacteria; Bacillati; Bacillota; Clostridia; Lachnospirales; Lachnospiraceae. The record is from RNAcentral.